AUUCGAAACAACGCGAAUAACCUUACCAAUUUUUGUAUAAAGUUAAAUGAAACUUUACAGGACUGCAUGGCUGUCGUCAGCUCGUGCCGUGAGGUGUCGGGUUAAGUCCUUUAACGAGCGAAACCCCUGUCGCCAGUUGCCAGCAUUUAGUUGGGGACUCUGGCGAGACCGCCGGUGUUAAACCGGAGGAAGGCGGGGACGACGUCAAGUCAUCAUGGCCCUUACGACCAGGGCUACACACGUGCUACAAUGGAUGGAAC
Molecule: ribosomal RNA, 260 nt
Filed under: Compsopogon caeruleus
Lineage: Eukaryota; Rhodophyta; Compsopogonophyceae; Compsopogonales; Compsopogonaceae
Description: partial Bacterial small subunit ribosomal RNA
Rfam family: Bacterial small subunit ribosomal RNA
Source: RNAcentral